AAAAAACAAACAUUGUAGUCCAUAUAGAGCAAGUUAUGACAUCCAAGAACCAUCAACUAGCAAAGGUAUUUUGUAGGACUUGGACGUGAAAAAGUUCAGUGAACUUACACCUCAAAAGCAAACGCUGUCUAAGAGAUGCAGAAAAAAUCUAUCUGAAAUAGUGAGGCUCUGAAAAAAGUUUCAAGGUACAGUAAAGUGGAGCCACAUAGAGGAGUUUUAUAAUAAAGAUCGCGAGAAUCCCAACCGUGUUUGCUCCAGCUUUAACCCAGCACCACUUACAACCAGUACAGAAUGGCAAACAGAAAAUCAAAGAGCGCCUAGCAGAUCAAAUUUUAAGCCAUUCGGUUGCAGUUGGAAUAUUUGCCAAAAUGAAUGAUGACAAGACGCCCCUGGAACAACUGUCGCUGGACAAGCUUUUCGACUGAACGGAGAUUCGACCGACAGGAAAGAGGUAUAAACACUUAUUAUAAUAAUACUUGACAUCUGUAAUUGUGGAUGUGAUCCAAACCCCACGUCGGUCCAAUUAAAAACUAGCUUAGGCAAUUAGUAGCAGCGUUUUUAAUACGCUGAAAUUAUUAUUCUUCGAAGACACUAAACCUAGCUGCGCAACUGAAUAUCCCUGU
Molecule: long non-coding RNA, 623 nt
Organism: Pieris brassicae (large cabbage white)
Lineage: Eukaryota; Metazoa; Arthropoda; Insecta; Lepidoptera; Pieridae
Exons: 4
Source: RefSeq, a predicted model, not a curated record